GCGCUCGCUUCGGCAACACAUAUACUAAAAUUGGAAUGAUACAGAGAAGAUUAGCAUGGCCCCUGUGCUGUUUCAAGACUUACUACCUUAUA
This is a small nuclear RNA of Anolis carolinensis (green anole), 92 nucleotides long. NCBI's taxonomy places the organism in Eukaryota, Metazoa, Chordata, Lepidosauria, Squamata, Anolidae. The record is from Ensembl.